CCCUCCACCGUUUUCACCACCUUGCACUCCAUGUGGCUCUCCUUUCCCCUAAUUCACAGGGUGAAGCCAGAUUUGGUCCACAGAGCAGUCAGAGAAGAGCAACACAUGCCUGUCCGAUGAGUGCUGACUGAGCACCAGGAACUGUGCUAGAAGUUAGAAGUGUUGUGUAACGGACCAGGAACAUGUGUUCCUAUCUGUGUAUCUGCCCUUCUCCUUGGGAUACUAGGAAUAAAGAAAGUGAUCAUUGUCUACGUUGAAAGCAUCUGCCGUGUAGAAA
Molecule: long non-coding RNA, 277 nt
Filed under: Homo sapiens (human)
Lineage: Eukaryota; Metazoa; Chordata; Mammalia; Primates; Hominidae
Description: non-protein coding lnc-CNN3-2:1
Source: RNAcentral